ACGACGAACUCGUGCCCUUUAACUGGGCUCUUACCUGCUACAAUGGCGUAUACAACGAGUUGCCCACCUGCGAAGGUGAGCUAAUCUCUUAAAGUACGUCUCAGUUCGGACUGCAGUCUGCAGCUCGACUGCACGAAGUCGGAAUCGCUAGUAAUCGCGGAUCAACACGCCGCGGGUGAAUAAGUUCCCGGGGUCUUGUACACAGCGCCCGUCACACCAUGGGAGUUUGUUAAUGUCCCAAAGCCGGUGGGCCUAACCUUCGGGAGGGAGCCGUCUAAGGCACGACAGAAGAACUGGGGUGAAGGCCUAACAAGGUUAACCUUGUUUACAAACCGCGGGUUGAGACCCCCUCCUUAAAA
Molecule: ribosomal RNA, 359 nt
Filed under: Leuconostoc sp. KIBGE HA4
Lineage: Bacteria; Bacillati; Bacillota; Bacilli; Lactobacillales; Lactobacillaceae
Description: bacterial SSU rRNA
Rfam family: Bacterial small subunit ribosomal RNA
Source: RNAcentral